This 97-nucleotide transfer RNA is filed under the name bacterium. RNAcentral's name for it is "tRNA-Sec". It matches the Rfam family "Selenocysteine transfer RNA". RNAcentral also lists the same sequence under 2 other names. The record is from RNAcentral.
GGGAGGGCAUGGGGUCUGGUGGCCCCUCUGGACUUCAAAUCCAGCACGGCUUCUGACGAAGGGGCUGGGUGGGUUCGAUUCCCACAUCCUCCCGCCA